This is a long non-coding RNA of Mesocricetus auratus (golden hamster), 999 nucleotides long. RefSeq lists it as uncharacterized. Lineage: Eukaryota; Metazoa; Chordata; Mammalia; Rodentia; Cricetidae. The record is from RefSeq and is a predicted model, not a curated record. The transcript is spliced from 4 exons.
UGGUUCAGACGUCUGGGCUGUGUUUCCUGGGAGACAUCAUUUGAGUUGUGUUUGGGCAUUGAGGAUUUACAUUUGAUAAGAUAUCUCCAGUCACUGUUGGGGUGAACAUCUUCUGGCACAUCUGGAAAAUCUGUUCUCUGAGUAUGGCUUCCGGAGUUGACUGGAGGGAGAGGAGAGCCAGGGAGAGUGAGCGACUUUGGGUGUGCUAUGCCGCAUGUGGGCAUGGAAAUGCACAGUGAGGUCCAGGUGCUCCAUGCUUCUUUUCCCCUCUUCCAAACCUGCUCUGGGCAACGUGCUGCAUCCAGGAAACCUUCAGCUGCUGCCUAAGCAAAGUGUGGCUAGACUGGUCCCCACCUAGCAGAACUGCUCUGCUCCAGGUGGAGAAGAGUCCAGAAACUCUGUCUCCAUGUUGCCAUUGUUUUCAAAGAUAAGUCUUAAUGUCCUAAAAAUUAGAAGUUCGCAAACUGGCAAACGAUCCAAAGGCACCCAGCUCUCCAACCACGGGCACUUGUGAAAGUUCCUCUGCCCAGCCCUCCAGGGCUGUCUUUCACAGGACUCUGUUGUUUAUAUUACUAUUCAUAACUUGACCACAUUUUGUUAAAUUUCCUGUUCAAAAUUUUAUCUAUUUUGAGUAGGGACAUUUCCGUAUUCACUUUUGUUAUAUUUGACUUGCGAAGAAAAAUCUAAACCACUCAUGCUAAGAUGUAAGGAGCCGGUAUUUGCUUGCGAUGCCUCUGCUUCCUUCCGCAAUCUGAACACACAGCUACAGGAGGGGUUCGGUGAAUGACAGUAUUUCUAAUUAGAGAAAUGCUCAUGCCAGAGUGUUAAAUAGCAAAUGCAGAUCAGGUUCAACAGGGUAUGUGACACCAUAUGAGCCAGAUAAGGGCAUUUGCUUUUUUCCACAAAAAGAUUACUUCUCGGGGCUGCAGAGAUGGCUCAGAGGUUAGGAGUACUGGCUGCUCUUCCAGAGGUCCUGAGUUCAAUUCCUAGCAACCACAU